UAUCGCUCAGCUUUAGCAAACUGGUCCCUGCGGUGCCCGAGUUGUAACUUAGAAGAACGCUAUCUUGGAUUUGGCCUUUGUCUAUGUUCCUUGGAACAGGACGUCACAGAGGGUGAGAAUCCCGUGCGAUGAGGUGUCCAUUUCUAUGUAAGAUGUUUUCGAAGAGUCGAGUUGUUUGGGAAUGCAGCUCUAAGUGGGUGGUAAAUUCCAUCUAAAGCUAAAUAUUGGCGAGAGACCGAUAGCGAACAAGUACAGUGAUGGAAAGAUGAAAAGAACUUUGAAAAGAGAGUGAAAAAGUACGUGAAAUUGUUGAAAGGGAAGGGUAUUAGAUCAGACUUGGUAUUUAGUUAUCAUUACUCCUUGUGGGUGGUGCUCUAACUUUUUACUGGGCCAGCAUCAGUUUUGGUGGCAGGAUAAUGACAUUUGAAUGUGGCUCCUCGGAGUGUUAUAGCUUUUGUUGAUACUGCCUAUCCGGACUGAGGUCUGCGGCUUUUGCCUAUGAUGCUGGCGGAAGGAUCCAUACC
Molecule: ribosomal RNA, 524 nt
Filed under: Ogataea piceae
Lineage: Eukaryota; Fungi; Ascomycota; Pichiomycetes; Pichiales; Pichiaceae
Description: eukaryotic LSU rRNA
Rfam family: Eukaryotic large subunit ribosomal RNA
Source: RNAcentral